GUGAGAGUGGAGUAGACCAGGUUGUUGAAAUUAUUAAGGUACGUUUUACUUCAAAAUUCUAAUCAAUAAUAGUUUUAUUAUGAUUAUUUUGGAAAAAUUAAUAUUUUGGGACUGCGAUUUUGUAUAGAUUUAAUUGAUGGUUGUGUUUGGAGCAAAAUUAUUUUGUUUCCAAAUUAUUUUUAAAUUUUUGUUUUUGAAAAUAUUUAUAAAUUAUGUUACACUACAAUAAGAUUUUAAUUUAUAUGUUUUCCUUUUUAAUUGAACUCGAAUAAUUUCACUAAAUUUUAUUCAAUACGACUCAAAUUUAAUUUUACUUAACUCGAUAAAAUAUUAAAUUUAGUUAAGAUACUAAAAUAAUACUUAUCAUAAAAUAUGUAACGCCCCAAUUUUCGAGAAUUCUGUGAAUGUUGGCAUAGGUUUAAUUAUGUUAGUGGGCCUCUAGAAGGCCCAAGCUUAAGAUAGAACCUGGCAAUUUUAGUUAAUUUUUGUUCCAUAAGAAAAAUGGGGUGAAAUUAUGAAAUAGGACCUAUGUGAAAAUGUUUGAAAAUGUUAUAGGCUAAAUUGAAGUGGCCAAAUAAAUAGGAGUGCAAAAUAGGAGGAUUUGCAUGACAAACCUCCCAUUUUACAUGAAGUGGCCAGCCAUCAUGUUGUUGUAGACAAUAUGAGCACUUGAUAUCCAUAAUUCAUGGUACAAAUUGAUAAUGGGUUAGGUAAAUGUUCCAUGAUAAUGAAUUAGGUAAAUAUUCCAUGAUAAUGGGUUAGGUAAAUGUUCCAUGAUAAUGGUUUAGGUAAAUGUUCCAUGAUAGGCAUUUCAUGUCUUUUGUAUUAAAGAAUUAAAUGGAUGAAAUAUGAAAUUUUAUUAAAAUAAAAAGGGGUGAAAAGAACAAAGUUUUGUCCAUCUUUGUUCAUCAUAGCCGAAAGUUAGAGAAGAGAAAGGAGAGGAGAAAGCUCUUGAAUGUUCGGUCACUUGGGGAAGAAAAUUAAGGUAAGUUCAUGGUAGUUUGCUUCUAUCUUGAUGUUCAUGAGUUCUUCUUGAUUCUACCUUAACUCUUAAAGCAUAUUUUGGUUUUUAGUUGUGUUGUGAGCAUUUAGUCAUGAAUUAAAAUGAAGGAAAUGAUUGUUGUUUCAUGUUCUUUUGAUGAAAAAUGGAAGAUAGGUGAAGUUGAGCCAAACAAAUGAGCAUGCAUGUGCUUUAGAUGCUAAGGGGAAAAAUCGGCUAACAUGUUGUGCUUUAAAAUGAUGAAAUGGAGAUUAUACUUAAGUAAAUCAUAGAUAUGUGAUGAUUGAUUGGUGAUAUACAUGUUUAAAUAACAAGCAUGCAAGUUAGGUGUGAAAGAGUGAUUUGGUAAUAAAUCUGCUUGGGACAGCAGCAGUAAGGUGACUUUGGAAAUUCACCAUAAAUUGUGGGAGAUGAGUUAGAAGCUUCAUAAAUUAUGUAAUUAAAGCUUAAUGAGUCUAGUUUCAAAUGGAAUAAACGAGAACAUAUUUUGAAUUCUUUACAAUGAGAAAUUUGAUUCGUAAUAAAGAGUGGUCAGAUUAGUCAAACAGUGAAACAUGGGACACUUUAAGAAAAAUCUGGUAUUGAUUUGCCAUACCAAAAAUUCUGAAAAUUUUAUGGAUAGAAGAUAUAUGAGUCUAUUUUCAGGGAAAAUUAACAGCACUUGAUUUUGAGUUUCGUAGCUCUAGUUAUAAAUAAUUUAGUGACUAUUGCUCAGGAAGAUAGCUUGCAGUGAAAUUAUGAUUAUGUGGUAAACAUUGACAAAAAUUUGUUAAUGAGUUGCUUAUUGAUUUCUUAUAAGCUUACUAUGAUCUGUAGGUGUGGUUGGCCGAAUAUUGUAAGGGGUUAAUUCGUAGUUUGUAUUUGAAUAGUUAGAUUAACGUGUUAGUAAUCCAAUUGUAGGCAGUUCGUGUGUGGAUCUCGUCAGCAUAUCGUCGCAAACAGGUGUGUAACUGACACCCUCUCAUAGACUAGAUUGGCAAAAGCCGAAAAGCCAAAAUGUCGAAAAGUCGGUAUUUUGGGAAUUUGCGAGUGUACGAAUGCUCGUAAGAUAGUUGGGUUUGUAUAUUUGGUAAUCUAAAGUAAUAAACUACAGUACGCGCGAUUUCAUACAUUUUGAUAAUUUGGGCUUAAUGGGCCAAAGAUCGAGUUCAUGGGCCAACGGGCCCAAUUCGGUAAGUAUGCGCGGUAAGUGUUCUGAUAGUACGUAAAUAGUUAGGAUAUGCAUGAAAACCCUAAAAGUAGAUAAAUUACUAUAAUACCCCUAUGUAUGGAAAAUUACUGUUAUACCCCUAGGUGCAAAAUUACCGUUAUACCCCUAGGGUUAAUUUUGACUGAAAAGCAUGACGAUCUGAUUCUGUAUGAUGUAUGCCAUGAUUAUAUAUCUGUUGCAUGGGAACAUGGGUUAUAUUAUGGAGGAAGCGUCCUGGUGGCAUGCCACAAUUAUCCGUUCUGGUGGCUAUGCCACGAUUAUCUGAUCUGGUGGCUCUGCCACAUAUAUCUGUUCUGGUAGCUCUGCCACAAUAUCUGUAUCUGGUGACUUCGUCACAAUAUCUGGCAGCCUCGCUGUGAUUUCUGUAAUGUGUAGCGGUUGGGUGGGUCGAGUAGUCUCCCCACAUGGUGUAAGGCUGGUACGGGAGUGUUAUGGAUGAAUCUGGGUUGGGUUUCUGCAUAAACAUGUAAUAUCUGUUCUGUUCUGUUAUGGGCCUAUGGGCUUUAUUCUGAAUUCUGUUCUGGGCUAAGGCCAACUUAUUCUAUUUCUUUAGUUUGAGCUGAUAUAGGCUAUGGUUGGGUUAAUUUACACACUGAGUUUCCCCAAACUCACCCCUUUUAUUUUCAUCCAACGCAGAUAAUCCCCAACCAUAGUGGGCUUGGAGCUGUGAGGGAAUUCGUAAUGGCCACCCAUUUUGAAAGUUUGAUUUUCUUCUGGUGAACUGGACAUCCUUUUAUUUACGUUUGAAGUUUUGGGUUUUUAAAUGUAAUAAGGCCGCUUAAUUAUUUUUGAUGGUUUUAAUAUGUAUUACUAAGAUAGGUAUUACUUAUUUUAACUGUUGAAAUUGGAUAGCUUUAGGGCGCAUUUUCAAAGACAACAAUUGAUUUCAAAAUAACACGACAAUAAGCAAAGCUUCCGCAAUGAAAGUAUUUUCCAAAAUUAAUCACUUUUCCUAAAAAUGACUUAAUCAAAUCGGUUUCCUAGGAAUAUCUAUGAUGUUAAGGCAUGGCAAUGGCGGUAUGCAUGUCUAGGAUUAGAUCCGAAGGGAGCUUGGUACUUAAGCAGUCCGAUGGACUCACCACCUCUUUUUCGGUUUCUUACCUGGUGCACAGCUUCCAUUCACUUUAACCUAUAAUGAAAUUGUCUUUUAAAACACUAAGUAAGUUUUUCUGGAUCAACAAUAUAAAAUGUUUUGAACGCUUCGAUGUGGCAUGUCGGAUUCGGUCAUAACAUCUGGGCUGGGUUUGGGGUGUUACAUUUAGUGGUAUCAGAGCCUAGGUUGCAACAACUCGGCUGUGGAAUGGGUUUACAAAAAAAAAGAUUUUCAAAAACAAAAAAUUUUUUGCGAAAAAUGCGAUUUUCAAAAUUUAGAUCUUUAGAAGGUGGCAUUCCGAAUCUCCGGCCCAAGCCUAUAAGUAUUACUCUAAACUUUUCUGAAUCUUUUCCUGAAUUAUCUGUCUGUACUGAAACCCUAUUAGGAUACUCUAGAUAGGACGAUAUUGAAACCAUAGGAAAAUCUAAUAAGAGACUGAAACUUUAGCUAGACUUCGAUUCUGCGAAAACAAACUCUGAACUACUGUCUGAUUCAUAAAACAUCUUUAAUAAACACUGGAAUAUUAAUUGAUGCAUAAAAAUUCUUAAUCAAGAUAAUACGAUAUGAGUACAAGAGGCCGUGGACGGAGCCGAGGAAGUGCUCGAGCAAGAUCUUCGUCUUCGAGACAUAUGCCGGUGGUGGAUGCAUCGGUACCACCGGCAACAGAGGUAGAGUCUCAUGACCGCGGUGUCGGGGAUAAUACCUGUCACAGGCAAUACUUCGUGUUCUGGAAAGGGUUGCCUGGGCAAGUACGGGCAAUGGAGUUCGGGGAUCUAUUUCUGAACGACUUCGGGCUAACGGAGCAGAGAUCUUUAGGGGCGUGUCUGGUAUAGCCCCGAAUGUGGCGGAAUAUUGGUUGGAGGCCACAGAACGGAUUAUGGACAACUUGGACUGCUCUGAGGAGAUUGUGAGUGGGGUAUCUGUACUAAGUCCUUUGGGUCACUCGGUUAGGGUAGACAAACUGUAUAGGGAUGUACCCUUAAAAACUCAAGGUAGGAUUUUCCCUGGAGAUCUGAUGGAGUUACCGUUCGGAGAGUUUGAUCUCAUUUUGGGAAUGGACUGGCUUGUUAAGCAUAAGGCGACCCUAGAUUGUGCUAUUAAACGAAUGGUGUUAAGGACCACAAAGGAUGAGGAGGUUAUAGUGAUAAGUGAGCGAAGGGAUUAUUUGUCCAAUGUGGUGUCGGCUUUAAGAGCCAAAAAGUGAAUUCGGAAAGGUUGUGAGGCUUAUUUGGCAUUUGUAAGUCAGUCAGAAGAGGAGGGACUGACAGUGGAUAAGGUUAGGACCGUAAAGGAGUUCCAAGAUGUUUUUCCAGAGGAGCUUCCAAGAUUGCCUCCAAACCGAGAAGUUGAGUUUGGAAUAGAUUUGUUGUCUGGAAUGACGCCCGUGUCCAUCGUACCGUAUAGGAUGGCACCAAGGAGUUAGUGGAAUUAAAGGCUCAAAUUCAAGAGUUGUUGGAUAAGGGCUUCAUUAGGCCAAGCGUGUCUCCAUGGGGAGCACCGGUGCUAUUCAUGAAAAAGAAGGAUGGUACGAUGCGGAUGUGCAUUGAUUAUCGCCAGUUGAACAAACUGACGAUUAAGAAUAAGUAUCCACUACCAAGGAUUUAUGAUCUGUUCGACCAGCUUAGAGGAGCUUCUGUAUUUUCCAAGAUCGACCUUCGAUCUGGAUAUCAUCAGUUAAGGGUCAAGGAGGCAGAUAUCCAUAAGAUAGCAUUCAGGACUCGGUAUGGUCAUUACAAGUUUCUGGUUAUGCCAUUUGGACUGACGAACACUCCUGCAGCGUUUAUGGAUCUGAUGAAUCGUGUGUUCCAACCAUUUUUAGAUCAGUUCGUAGUCGUCUUUAUUGAUGAUAUCCUGGUAUAUUCUGAAACUGAAGCGAAACAUGAUGAGCAUCUCCGUAUAGUGCUGCGAGUGUUAAGGGAGAAAGAACUCUUUGCGAAGUUCAGCAAGUGUGAAUUUUGGUUGAAGGAGGUAACCUUCUUAGGACAUGUGGUCUCUGCCGAAGGGAUUAAGGUGGACUCUCGAAAGAUUGAAGCAAUUUUGGAGUGGAAGGCACCUAGGACGGUGUCGAAAAUUAGAAGUUUCCUAGGGUUGGCAGGAUACUACAAAAGGUUUGUGGAAGGUUUUUCUGUGAUGGCAGCACCUCUGAGAAAACUCAUAAGGAAAGGGGUACCGUUUGUAUGGACUGAGACCUAACAGGAGGCUUUUGAGAAGUUGAAGAAAGUUCUGACUAAAGCACCUGUGUUAAUUCAGCCAGAGUCUGGGAAGGAUUUUACUGGGUACAGUGACGCAUCACAUGUAGGCUUGGGCUGCGUGUUAAUGCAGAAGGGUAAGGUGGUUGCAUAUGCAUCACGACAGCUUAAACCUCACGAAGGGAACUAUCUUACUCAUGAUUUGGAGUUGGCGGCAGUGAUAUUUGCCCUUAAGAUUUGGAGACAUUACUUGUACGGGGAGAGGUGUAUUAUAUACACAGACCACAAGGGUCUUAAGUAUUUGUUGACUCAGAAGGAGCUGAACUGUAAUGACCCGAAUUUUACCGUUACCGAAAAAGUGUAUUUUCGGGUCUCCGUUUCUGAAAAAUGGAUUCGUAAAUAUUUAUUAAAAAUAUUUACGAAGUAAAAUGAGUGGUUAAUUAGAGUUUAAUUAAGCGAAUUUAAUUUAAUUAAGAGUAAUUAAGUAAAAUGACCAAAUUGAAUAAAGUGUGAAAGUUGAAUUAUAGAUUAAAAGAAAAUAAAAAGGACUAAAAGGGCAAUUAUAAAAAAAGUAUAAAUUGAGGCGGUUUAUCGUGAAGAAAAUGUAAGAUUUUUUUUAUGUUUAGUAUAUUAUUAUAUUAUUAUAUUAUUAUAUAAUAAAGAUACUUUAUGUUUUAAUUAUAUUAUAUUAUAUUAUAUUAUAUUAUAUAUAUAAACUAAAGAAGCAAAUGAAAGGAAAUAGAAACAGAAUGGAACGAAAUAGAGAGCAGGGGAGAAAAAGAAAGAAAGAAGGGGAGAAAAGGGAAAAUUAAAGGUUUGAAGCUUUAAGCUUUAAUAGGUAAGUCAAUCAAGCCCUUUUUACUUAAUUUUGAUGUUUUAGAAGUUUUAGAACAAAGUUUUGAUGAAAUUAAGUUGAUAUUUUAAUAGUUAUUAGAUUUCUAGAUAUUGUCCAUGUUAAAUAAAAUGAUGAAUUAAGGGCUAAAUUGAUAGAAAUUCAAGUUAAAAAUGAUACAAGGAUUGAAUUAUAAAAUGAUUCAUAAGUUUUAUGCUUUAAGGACUAAAUUGAAAGAAUUUCAAAAUUAUGGUUUUAUGAUGAAAAAUAGAUAAUUAUGUCUAAGUUUGGUUAAAAAUUGAGUAGAAAUAAAGUAUGAAUUAAGAUAGAAAAGUAAGUGAAUUUAGUUAGAAUUAAAUUGAAAUUAAAGUAAAUCAACAUUUUGUACUAAGACUAUUUUGGACAGCAACAGUAGUCUAAGUUUGAAAAAUCACCAAAAAUUGUAGAAAUUGAAUUAGAGGAUGAGUAAAAUAUGGAAUUAAAUAUUAUUGAGUCUAGUUUCUUAUAGAAGAAACGAUAUAAGCAAUUGAAUUGUAAAUUAUGAGAUAUAAUGAAUUUUGUGAGACAAGGUCAGAAUGAAUUCGGGUUCCCCUGUUCUGACUUUGGAAAAUCACCAAAAAAUUGAAGAAAAAUAAUUAGAGGCUUAAAGUUAUAUGUUUAGAAUCCCUAAUGAGUCUAUUUUCAGGAUAAAUCAACGGAAAUAUUAUCCGAGUUCUGUACUGUGAGAUAAUUAAUUUUUAGUGAAGAAGGGACGAAACUGUCAGUCAGCAGAAUAGGGGUGAAUUUAAAGAAUAAACUGUACUUAAUGGCUAAACCAAAAAUUCUGAAAAUUUUAUUGUAAGAAGAUUUGUGAGUCUAGUUUCAGUAAAAAUUAGCAGAUCUUAAUUUAGAAUUCUGUAACUCAAGAUAUGAAUUAGUAAUGUAUUAAUGAUUAUGAAUUGUAUUAAUUUCGUAGUCAAUGUGGUACCGAAAAUCUCGGCUAAGAAAGGAUAAGACCAAGUCAACGGGAGUUAGCUCGAAAAUUACGGUUUGUAUUUCUAUAAUCCGAACUUAGUUAUUAUUUGUUAUAUUUAUAUACAUAUGACAAUUGUUAGUGUUAGAAUUAUGAUGUUUUACAAUUGGAAUGGAUUGAUUUUGGUAUGCGAUGAAUUUAUUGAAUUUAUAUUGAUUGAAAUUAUUUUGAUUGAAUUUAUAUUGAUUGAAUUAUAUAAUAUAUAUGAUUUAUGUAGAAAUUUGAAUAUUGAACGAAUAUUAUAUUGAAAAAUAUAUUGAUUAGAAAUAUGAGGAAAUUGAUAUGAAUAUAUGAGAUUGUGAUAUUUGAAUAUUUGAUAUUGAAAAGUGAAUUGAAUUGUAUUGAAUUAUGAAUUAAUGUGAAUAAUUGAAAUAUAUUGUUGAAUUGAAUGAAAUUGUAUGAAUUGUGAAAAUGGGUGAAUAUAUGUGAUUAUCAUAAUGGUAUAUUGAUGAAAGAAUUAUUAAAUUGAGAAAGUGAAUGAAAUACCCUAUUAACUAGUCGGGUUGAGUCGGAUAUAAUUGGAUGCCAUAGGAUCUGGAAGUGUACGAGAUUUGCCGGCUUUACUGAUCAGGCACUUUUUGUGUCGUAUUUCAGGCACCUCGUGUGUCGUUUUAGGCACUUUAUGUGUCGUAUACUGAUCAGGUACUAUGUACCGUUUUAGGCACAAUGUGCCGUACUGGUGUGUUUAGGUUGGAAUCCGUGUAUCCGUCAAAGUUCGGGUUUGUUAAUAGGGGUAAAUAAGUGAAAGAUAAAUCGAAUAAAUUUGAUUGAUCAAGCUAUUGAAAUGAAACGAGAAAUUGAAUUGAGAAUUGAAAAUUUAUACAUGAAAUUGAAAAUAUGAACGAAAGGUUCAUGAAAUGAUUGGAGUUCGAAUUGAUGAUAUAUGAUGCCACUUGAUGAAUUGAAAUGUGAUUUGAGAUAUAUGAAUCGUAUGUAUAUACUGAAAGCUAUCAGGGAUAGUAAGUUGAUAUGAUAUAAAUGAAAUUGACUGUUAUUGAAAUGAAUUAAAAUGGAAUAUGAUUGAUAAGGGUAUAGUUGAAUAUAGUUUAAUGAUAUUGAAUUGUGAGUAAAUUAAGGAAAGCUAUACCGAGUAGUAAGUGAAAGAUUGGAGUAAAUAAUAAUGGAUUUAGUUAAGAAUUGAACAAUUAUGUUAUUGUGUUUAUUAUAUGAUUUGUAUAAAAUUUAUAUGGUAAGUAGUUGAAAUUUAUCUAUGAAUAAAUAAUUGAAUAAUUGUAAUUGUUAUUAUGAUCUUAAGUAUUUGUUAUAUUAUUAAUUGUUCGGAUUAUAGAAAUACCACUGAGUAUACCAUACUCAGCGUACGGUUUGUUUCCGUGUGCAGGUUAAGUAAAGAUAGUACGUUGAAUCAGCAUCCCAAGACGAUCCCGGAUUCAUUAAGGUAAAGUAUGUUGAGUAUUGAUAAUGGCAUGUACCCAGGAUGUUUAAUGAGAGUCAUUUAGGUUGUAAAAGUAUUGAUGAAAUGAGUAAAUUAUGGUUGGCAACGGUAUGUAGUAUGAAUUUUGAAAUUUACUAAAAAUUCGUAGUGAUUCUAAAUUAGUCCCGAAUUGAAUUUACUAUUUAUAUUGGACCACGAGGGCCCAUUAAAGGGACGACAUCUUAAAACUAGGAUGUGUGUGAAUAUUUAUUUUAAUUAAUGACCGAAAUUGGACUGUAUUGAUUGGUAAUGUCUCGUAACCCUGUUCCGGUGACGGUAUAGGGUUAGGGGACGUUACAUGAACCUUAGGCAAAGGAGAUGGAUUGAGUUGCUUAAGGAUUAUGACUAUUCGAUCGAGUAUCACUAGGCAAGGCUAAUGUGGUAGCUGAUGCUCUAAGUCGUAGAACUGUAUCUGAUCUGAGAGCAAUGUUUGCUCGUCUGAGUCUGUAUGAUGAUAGAAGUCUGUUGGCUGAGUUGCAAGUGAGGCCAACCUGGGUGGAUCAGAUUAAGGAAAAGCAGUUGAACGAUGAGUCUUUGGUCGCUCGUUUUCAACAAGUUAAGGAAGGGGAAACUUCUGAGUUUCGGUUAAAUGGCGAAGGAGAUUGAGUACUCAAUAGGUGAUAUGGUCUUCUUAAAGGUUUCUCCUUGGAAUAAGAUAUUAAGGUUCAGUAAGAAGGGCAAGUUGAGUCCGCGGUUCAUUGGGCCUUAUCGGGUUUUGAAGCGAGUAGGCCCAGUGGCUUAUCAGUUGGAAUUGCCUCCAGAGUUAGAUAGGAUUCACGAUGUUUUUCACGUCUCCAUGUUAAGGCGUUAUCGUGCUGACCCUGCUCAUGUCCUGCCAGUUGCAGAAAUUGAAGUUCAGAUUGAUUUGACCUUUGAGGAGGAGCCUGUGCAAAUAUUGGCUCGAGAUGUUAAGGUUCUCAGAAGGAAAUCUGUCCCGUUAGUGAAAGUACUUUGGCGUAAUCAUGGAAGGGAAGAAGCUACUUGGGAAUCAGAAGAGACUAUGCGUCAACAAUACCCUCAACUAGUUGGAUCAGGUAAAUUUCAAGGAAGAAAUUUCUUUAAGGAGGGUAAAGUUGUAACGCCCCAAUUUUUGGGAAUUCUGUGAAUGUUGGCAUAGGUUUAAUUAUGUUAGUGGGCCUCUAGAAGGCCCAAGCUUAAGAUAGAACCCGGCAAUUUUAGUUAAUUUUUGUUCCAUAAGAAAAAGGGGGUGAAAUUAUGAAAUAGGACCUAUGUGAAAAUGUUUGAAAAUGCUAUAGGCUAAAUUGAAGUGGCCAAAUAAAUAAGAGUGCAAAAUAGGAGGAUUUGCAUGACAAACCUCCCAUUUUACAUGAAGUGGCCAGCCAUCAUGUUGUUGUAGACAAUAUGAGCACUUGAUAUCCAUAAUUCAUGGUACAAAUUGAUAAUGGGUUAGGUAAAUGUUCCAUGAUAAUGGAUUAGGUAAAUAUUCCAUGAUAAUGGGUUAGGUAAAUGUUCCAUGAUAAUGGUUUAGGUAAAUGUUCCAUGAUGGGCAUUUCAUGUCUUUUGUAUUAAAGAAUUAAAUGGAUGAAAUAUGAAAUUUUAUUAAAAGAAAAAGGGGUGAAAAGAACAAAGUUUUGUCCAUCUUUGUUCAUCAUCGCCGAAAGUUAGAGAAGAGAAAGGAGAGGAGAAAGCUCUUGAAUGUUCGGUCACUUGUGGAAGAAAAUUGAAGGUAAGUUCAUGGUAGUUUGCUUCUAUCUUGAUGUUCAUGAGUUCUUCUUGAUUCUACCUUAACUCUUAAAGCAUAUUUUGGUUUUUAGUUGUGUUGUGAGCAUUUAGUCAUGAAUUAAAAUGAAGGAAAUGGUUGUUGUUUCAUGUUCUUUUGAUGAAAAAUGGAAGAUAGGUGAAGUUGAGCCAAACAAAUGAGCAUGCAUGUGCCUUAGAUGCUAAGGGGAAAAAUCGGCUAACAUGUUGUGCUUUAAAAUGAUGAAAUGGAGAUUAUACUUAAGUAAAAUCAUAGAUAUGUGAUGAUUGAUUGGUGAUAUACAUGUUUAAAUAACAAGCAUGCAAGUUAGGUGUGAAAGAGUGAUUUGGUAAUAAAUCUGCUUGGGAUAGCAGCAGUAAUGUGACUUUGGAAAAUCACCAUAAAUUGUGGGAGAUGAGUUAGAAGCUUCAUAAAUUAUGUAAUUAAAGCUUAAUGAGUGUAGUUUCAAAUGGAAUAAACGAGAACAUAUUUUGAAUUCUGUACAAUGAGAAAUUUGAUUCGUAAUGAAGAGUGGUCAGAUUAGUCAAACAGUGAAACAUGGGAAACUUUAAGAAAAAUCUGGUAUUGAUUGGCCAUACCAAAAAUUCUGAAAAUUUUAUGGAUAGAAGAUAUAUGAGUCUAUUUUCAGGGAAAAUUAACGGCACUUGAUUUGGAGUUUCGUAGCUCCAGUUAUAAAUAAUUUAGUGACUGUUGCUCAGGAAGACAGCUUGCAGUGAAAUUAUGAUUAUGUGGUAAACAUUGACAAAAAUUUGUUAAUGAGUUGCAUAUUGAUUUCUUAUAAGCUUACUAUGAUCUGUAGGUGUGGUUGGCCGAAUAUUGUAAGGGGUUAAUUCGUAGUUUGUAUUUGAAUAGUUAGAUUAACGUGUUAGUAAUCCAAUUGUAGGCGGUUCGUGUGUGGAUCUCGUCAGCAUAUCGUCGCAAACAGGUGUGUAACUGACACCCUUUCAUAGACUAGAUUGGCAAAAGCCAAAAAGCCGAAAUGUUGAAAAGUCGGUAUUUUGGGAAUUUGCGAGUGUACGAAUGCUCGUAAGAUAGUUGGGUUUGUAUAUUUGGUAAUCUAAAGUAAUAAACUGCAGUACGCGCGAUUUCGUACAUUUUGAUAAUUUGGGCUUAAUGGGCCAAAGAUCGGGUUCAUGGGCCAACGGGCUCAAUUCGGUAAGUAUGCGCGGUAAGUGUUCUGAUAGUACGUAAAUAGUUAGGAUAUGCAUGAAAACCCUAAAAGUAGCUAAAUUACUAUAAUACCCCUAUGUAUGGAAAAUUACUGUUAUACCCCCUAGGUACAAAAUUACCGUUAUACCCCUAGGGUUAAUUUUGACUGAAAAGCAUGACGAUAUGAUUCUGUAUGAUGUAUGCCAUGAUUAUAUAUCUGUUGCAUGGGGACAUGGGUUAUAUUAUGGAGGAAACGUCCUGGUGGCUAUGUCACAAUUAUCUGAUCUGGUGGCUCUGCCACAUAUGUCUGUUCUGGUGGCUAUGCCACGAUUAUCUGAUCUGGUGGCUCUGCCACAUAUAUCUGUUCUGGUGGCUCUGCCACAAUAUCUGUAUCUGGUGACUUUGUCACAAUAUCUGGCAGCCUCGCUGCGAUUUCUGUGAUGUGUAGCGGUUGGGUGGGUCGAGUAGUCUCCCAACAUGGUGUAAGGCUGGUACGGGGGUGUUAUGGAUGAAUCUGGGUUGGGUUUCUGCAUAAAUAUGUAAUAUCUGUUCUAUUUUGUUAUGGGCCUAUGGGCUUUAUUCUGAAUUCUGUUCUGGGCUAAGGCCAACUUAUUCUAUUUCUGUGGUUUGAGCUGAUAUAGGCUAUGGUUGGGUUAAUUUACACACUGAGUUUCCCCAAACUCACCCCUUUUAUUUUCAUCCACGCAGGUAAUCCCCAACCAUAGUGGGCUUGGAGCUGUGAGGGAAUUCAGAGUGGCCACCCGUUCUGAAAGUUUGAUUUUCUUCUGGUGAACUAGACAUCCUUUUAUUUACGUUUGAAGUUUUGGGUUUUUAAAUGUAAUAAGGCCGCUUAAUUAUUUUUGAUGGUUUUAAUAUGUAUUACUAAGAUAGGUAUUACUUAUUUUAACUGUUGAAAUUGGAUAGCUUUAGGGCACGUUUUCAAAAACAACAAUUGAUUUCAAAAUAACACGACAACAAGCAAAGCUUCCGCAAUGAAAGUAUUUUCCAAAAUUAAUCACUUUUCCUAAAAAUGACUUAAUCAAAUCGGUUUCCUAGGAAUAUCCAUGACGUUAAGGCGUGGCAAUGGUGGUAUGCAUGUCUAGGAUUGGAUCCGAAGGGAGCUUGGUACUUAAGCAGUUCGAUGGACUCACCACCUCUUUUCCGGUUUCCUACCUGGUGCACAGCUUCCAUUCACUUUAACCUAUAAUGAAAUUGUCUUUUAAAACACUAAGUAAGUUUUUCUGGAUCAACAAUAUAAAAUGUUUUGAACGCUUCGAUGUGGCAUGUCGGAUCCAGUCAUAACGUCUGGGCUGGGUUUGGGGUGUUACAAAAUAUUACUUAACUCAAAUUUUUUUCAUUCAAAAAAUUACUUAUCAAAAAAUAAAACUCAGUUGAUUCAAUGGAAUACUCGCUGAUGAUUGCAUUAGAAAAGCUGAAAGUAUGACAAACUUGCCUAUAUCAUAGCCGUUUUUAGUAGUAACGACGGUAAUUCUACAAAAUCCUGACUCUAGGAAUAACCCCAAAAAUUAAACUUAUGGUAGCCAUCAUUGUCUGCUCCAAAUUGACGAGCUUCAUACAACAGAGAGAUGAAAAGCGAAGUUGCAUAAAUAUUUUGUUAUCUUUUAUUUUAUUUUCAAAUUACCUAAUUAAAUUAAAUUAUGUUUAAAGUUUCAUUUUAAAUAUUUUAUUUUUUUUGAGUCACGAAAAAUAAUUUUAAUAUUUUAUUUUAUUUUAAAUAUUUCAUUUUAUUUUAACAUUACCUAAUUAAAUUAAAUCGUAUUUAAAGUUUUAUUUUAAAUAUUUCAUUUUUUUUGAAUCACGAAAAAUAAUUUCAAUAUUUUAUUUUAUUUUAACAUUACCUAAUUAAAUUAAAUCGUAUUUAAAGUUUUAUUUUAAAUAUUUCAUUUUUUUUGAAUCACGAAAAAUAAUUUCAAUAUUUUAUUUUAUUUUAACAUUACCUAAUUAAAUUAAAUUGUAUUUAAAGUUUUAUUUUAAAUAUGUCAUUUAAUUUGAAUCACGAAAAAUAAUUUCAAUAUUUUAUUUUAUUUGAUCACGAAAAAUAUUUUGUUUUCUUUAAUUUUAUUUUCAAAUUAUCUAAUUAAAUUAAGUUUUAUUUUCCAACUCGCAUAAUUUACAUAAUUUACAUAAUACAUAACUUACAUAAUUUAAAGUUUGAAUUUCAUAACUUACAUAAUUUACAUAACUUACAUAAUACAUAACUUACAUAAUACAUGACUUACAUAAUUUAAAGAUCAAAUUUCAUAACUUACAUAAUUUACAUAAAAUUAACACACAUGGAACUAUAUCCUAAAAUUUAAAUAUUAAAACAACUAUAACAUGGAACUAUAUCCUAAAAGUCAAAACACAAUAAUACAUUUAAAUAAUUGUAUAUAUAUUACUUUAUGUCGUACAUAAUACAUAACUUACAUAAUUUACAUAACUUACAUAAUACAUAAAUAUAUAUCAUAUCAUAACUUACAUAACUUAAUUAUAUUUAUAAAUAAACAACUUACUCGUGUAACUUAUUGUCAACUUUAGACUUCAAGAACAACAAAAUGGAUAGGAGUUGGAUGAAUUUGUCAAGGGUAAGCAACGAAUAUCGAAAUGGAGUUCAAACUUUUCUAAAUUUUGCAUUUCAAAAUGCAAGCCAAGAGAAUAUGAUUCUAUGCCCGUGUAAGAGGUGUGGCAACAUCAAUUGGCAUUUUC
Molecule: long non-coding RNA, 14343 nt
Filed under: Gossypium barbadense (sea-island cotton)
Lineage: Eukaryota; Viridiplantae; Streptophyta; Magnoliopsida; Malvales; Malvaceae
Description: long non-coding RNA (GBAR_LNC007548)
Source: RNAcentral